This 74-nucleotide transfer RNA is filed under the name Tritrichomonas foetus. It matches the Rfam family "tRNA". From Rfam's summary of the family: Transfer RNA (tRNA) molecules are approximately 80 nucleotides in length. Lineage: Eukaryota; Parabasalia; Tritrichomonadida; Tritrichomonadidae. The record is from Rfam by way of RNAcentral.
GCCUUCGUAGCUCAGUCGGCUAGAGCAUCGGACUUUUAAUCCGAGUGUCGCGGGUUCGAUUCCCGUCGGAGGCA